GAAUGCUGACAUAAGUAACGAUAAAGCGGGUGAAAAGCCCGCUCGCCGGAAGACCAAGGGUUCCUGUCCAACGUUAAUCGGGGCAGGGUGAGUCGACCCCUAAGGCGAGGCCGAAAGGCGUAGUCGAUGGGAAACGGGUUAAUAUUCCCGUACUUGGUGUUACUGCGAAGGGGGGACGGAGAAGGCUAUGUUGGCCGGGCGACGGUUGUCCCGGUUUAAGCGUGUAGGUGUGUGUUCCAGGUAAAUCCGGUUCACUUUAACACUGAGGCGUGAUGACGAGGCACUACGGUGCUGAAGCAACAAAUGCCCUGCUUCCAGGAAAAGCCUCUAAGCAUCAGGUAACACGAAAUCGUACCCCAAACCGACACAGGUGGUCAGGUAGAGAAUACCAAGGCGCUUGAGAGAACUCGGGUGAAGGAACUAGGCAAAAUGGUGCCGUAACUUCGGGAGAAGGCACGCUGACACGUAGGUGAAGUGAUUUACUCAUGGAGCUGAAGUCAGUCGAAGAUACCAGCUGGCUGCAACUGUUUAUUAAAAACACAGCACUGUGCAAACACGAAAGUGGACGUAUACGGUGUGACGCCUGCCCGGUGCCGGAAGGUUAAUUGAUGGGGUCAGCGCAAGCGAAGCUCCUGAUCGAAGCCCCGGUAAACGGCGGCCGUAACUAUAACGGUCCUAAGGUAGCGAAAUUCCUUGUCGGGUAAGUUCCGACCUGCACGAAUGGCGUAAUGAUGGCCAGGCUGUCUCCACCCGAGACUCAGUGAAAUUGAACUCGCUGUGAAGAUGCAGUGUACCCGCGGCAAGACGGAAAGACCCCGUGAACCUUUACUAUAGCUUGACACUGAACAUUGAGCCUUGAUGUGUAGGAUAGGUGGGAGGCUUUGAAGUGUGGACGCCAGUCUGCAUGGAGCCGACCUUGAAAUACCACCCUUUAAUGUUUGAUGUUCUAACGUGGACCCGUAAUCCGGGUUGCGGACAGUGUCUGGUGGGUAGUUUGACUGGGGCGGUCUCCUCCUAAAGAGUAACGGAGGAGCACGAAGGUUGGCUAAUCCUGGUCGGACAUCAGGAGGUUAGUGCAAUGGCAUAAGCCAGCUUGACUGCGAGCGUGACGGCGCGAGCAGGUGCGAAAGCAGGUCAUAGUGAUCCGGUGGUUCUGAAUGGAAGGGCCAUCGCUCAACGGAUAAAAGGUACUCCGGGGAUAACAGGCUGAUACCGCCCAAGAGUUCAUAUCGACGGCGGUGUUUGGCACCUCGAUGUCGGCUCAUCACAUCCUGGGGCUGAAGUAGGUCCCAAGGGUAUGGCUGUUCGCCAUUUAAAGUGGUACGCGAGCUGGGUUUAGAACGUCGUGAGACAGUUCGGUCCCUAUCUGCCGUGGGCGCUGGAGAACUGAGGGGGGCUGCUCCUAGUACGAGAGGACCGGAGUGGACGCAUCACUGGUGUUCGGGUUGUCAUGCCAAUGGCACUGCCCGGUAGCUAAAUG
Molecule: ribosomal RNA, 1480 nt
Filed under: Salmonella enterica
Lineage: Bacteria; Pseudomonadati; Pseudomonadota; Gammaproteobacteria; Enterobacterales; Enterobacteriaceae
Description: partial 23S ribosomal RNA
Rfam family: Bacterial large subunit ribosomal RNA
Source: RNAcentral